RNAcentral lists this unclassified non-coding RNA (1197 nucleotides) under Leishmania donovani. RNAcentral describes it as "gene:unknown". Lineage: Eukaryota; Euglenozoa; Kinetoplastea; Trypanosomatida; Trypanosomatidae. The record is from RNAcentral.
CUCAAUGCGUGGUAUCCCAGAUCUCAGUGCCCUUACUCUGUGUGGAGAGGCCAUGCCGAGCCCCCCUUCUCCAACCUCUCCCAAUUUCAGAACCAUCUGUGGUAGUGGUAAGGUCAAGUGCCCUCGAGUUAGCGAUUCAGUGUGGUGCAUCGCUACAGAUGCCGGCGGUGAGGUCCUGGAUGGUGCCGUGCUGGAGAGACCUGCGGCAGCGAACACGCUUGUACCACCCACAUGAUUCGGCGGAGUGCCGGCGUGGCUCGGACGCGUCUCUCACCCCCCCCCCCCCCCGCCGUCUGCACACUGCCUACUGGUGGUGGGGAGCGUGAGUGUCACCCGACGAGGAGGGGGAGGGGGAAUGUACCAGAGGUGGCGGCCGGCGUGAUUGGAGGAGCGGCUGUGAGCCGGCCUGCGAGGCGGCCGUGAUGGGUAGAGUAUGUGGGCCGGGCCCGUGCACUGGUGACCGAGUCGUUGCGUUGCUGCAACGCGCGUUUCCAGCGCUGCUUCACACCAGGCGAUGGGGCGUGUGACAGGGCCGCUGUGGAGUGAAGCUGAGCUCGUGCUGUAUGGCAGAGAGUGGACACGCUGAAUAUGAAAAAAACAAAACAACGCUGCAUGGUCUUUCUGCGCGUGUGUGUAGCUGUGCCUGCCUCCUCUUUUCUCUCCCCCUUUUUCGUUUUUUUUUCGUGCUCCGUUUUGCCGUGUGGUGCCGGCGGUCGUUUCCCUAUUCUCAGUGCGGGUCGUGAUGGAGCCCUUCCUCUCUCGACGAGCAAGGACGGCACGAAGUUGUGCACGGCGGCGUACCUCACGAAAAAAAGAAGAGGAUACUAGCCCCCUCUUUCCUCUCCGCACAUCCUGCGUGUAUGCUGUAUGGCGAAUGAAGCGAGGGGGAGGGGGCUGAAAGGUUGUGUGCGUGCGAGCGUGCGCCGAUGGUAUGUCGAGAUGGUUGCAGAGUACCCCGCACGCCUUUUUCUCCCGCUGCACUCUCUGUGAUAGUAGGGGAGAUAGGUGGGAUGACGGGGCACAGUGUUGCAGCGUCUGUGCGUUCUUCGCCCCUCCUUUUUUUCUCGCCCUGUAAAAGUGCGCGCUCACUCCUUCUUUGUAUUUGGUAUGUUGCCUGUUACUCUUGCACAACUCCCCACGUCUUGUCUCUUACGCGCUUUUUGACUGCACCGCAAACACCCAAACGAUUCUGCGCAG